AUGGGGCACUGCGGUAGGGAGAUCGGCUCCAAGCGAGCGAAGCUCCCGGCCGCCGACGGCGCAAGCGAGGACCGCCUCAGCGCACUACCGGACGACGUUCUUAUCGGCAUCCUCCUCAAGCUCCGCCGCACCGCCUACGCCGCUCGGACCAGCGUCCUGUCCCGCCGCUGGCGCCGCCUCUGGGCCCUCCUCCCGAAUCUCAACUUCACCGGCGAUGCCGACCACCACCGCAUACUCCCUGCCCUCGCCGCCCAUCAAGCGCCGGUGCUCCAGGGCCUAAGCGCCUUCGUUGACGACAUCUCUGCCGAAUCCGUGGCGACCUGGCUCCCCAUAGCCGCGCGCCGCCUCUCCGGCGGUAUACUGCUUUACAACGCUGUACCGCAGAACCAGGCCAGGGAAAGAGGCGUCUUUGAGCUGCCACGCUUCGAGAACACCACCUCUAUCGUGUUCGACCUAGGAUUUCUUGGCCUUGCCGUGCCGCAUUCCAGCGUAUUCGCCCGCCUCGUCUCUCUCUGGCUGUUUGGUGUCCAUCUGCAUGGCCCGUGCGAGCUUGGUGACGCUCUCUCCUCACCGCGGUGCCCAUCCUUACGAGAACUCAAGAUCCGCAAUGCCUGGGGUCUUGGUAACUUCACCAUCCACUCCGAGUCUCUCCUGCAAAUGGAGCUGAAUAACUUGUAUGGCUUGCAGCAGCUCACUGUAGAAGCGAAGGUACUUCAAGAGUUAUAUGUGAGCUCUUGCUUUGAGAAUUCUAUCACUGCGGUGAGUCGACCGGUUGCAAACAUCUCAGCCCCUCAACUGGCGUCACUCCACUGGACGGAUGCUUAUGAACCAAGCUCUGUCCAGCUUGGCGAGAUGGCACAUCUCCAACGUCUGGAGACUGGUCAUUUUUUUGUGUUUGGACAUUAUUUGGAUGACUACACACCAAAUCGCAAUUGCUUGAGGCUCUUGCAGCAAUUUGAGGUCAUGCACCAUUUAAAGCUCUCGCUGAUCUAUCUGCUGGACAAAGGUCACCAUCAAUACCUGAUGGAGAACAUGACAAGGCUCCCUAACAUUACACUCUUGACCCUGAAUGUAAUGACAAAAGGACAUUCAUUUGGAGCAAGCUUAUUCCAUAUUCUCAGGAUGUGUACUGGUGUAAGAAAGUUGGCUCUUGUCUUUCUCGGAAAACCUAGCAAUCUGGAGGCACAAGCCACAUGCCCAUCAGGUUGCAUUUGUGAUCAACCACUAAACUGGAAAAGCGAGGAACUCAUAUUAAAUUGCCUCCCAGAAAUAGAAAUCAAUGGGUUUGGAGGAACUGAACAUGAAGUUGCUCUUGUGAAAUUGUUAUUCAAUUGGGCAGCAGUGCUAAAAAAGAUGACAAUAGCUUUCCAUUACUCAAUUCCUAAAAGGAAGGCUGAGGAGUUAGGCCACAUGUUACUAGGCUUCUCCAGCCCAGAAAUAUUGAUGGACUUUUUGCAUAUCAAGUAUUCUCGAGAAGGCGUACACUCGACAAGGCUCCAACUUUCUGUAACACCUAACCUGUGGUUGGUGGGCCCAGCCAGCUGGCCAGACAAGUGGUGUGCGUGGGUGGUGUUAAAAUGGCCGCCUGUGGCCGUGGUGGAUCACGUGUGUGUUGAUACUCUGAACUCUGAAUUCUUCCUCUGCGAUCCAUCCCCUCCUUCCUCUCCAAGCUUUUCCUUCCCCCUCGUUCGAUCUGGAUCCUCUCCCCCCCCCUCACUUCCUGGGGUGUUACAACUGGUAAUCAGAGCCACAAACCCUCCCGAAAUUUUUCUUCCUCGCUUGAUUGGGAGUCGGUAA
Molecule: ribosomal RNA, 1797 nt
Filed under: Triticum aestivum (bread wheat)
Lineage: Eukaryota; Viridiplantae; Streptophyta; Magnoliopsida; Poales; Poaceae
Description: partial small subunit ribosomal RNA
Source: RNAcentral